Parelaphostrongylus tenuis is the source of this 74-nucleotide non-coding RNA. Lineage: Eukaryota; Metazoa; Nematoda; Chromadorea; Rhabditida; Metastrongylidae. The record is from the annotation of a GenBank genome assembly.
UCGUCGAUAGUGCAACGGUUCAGCAAAGACUCCUCGAAAGAGUGAGUUGUGGGUUCGAAUCCCAGCUGGCGUAA